GACGAACGCUGGCGGCGUGCCUAAUACAUGCAAGUAGAACGCUGAAGCUUGGUGCUUGCACCGAGCGGAUGAGUUGCGAACGGGUGAGUAACGCGUAGGUAACCUGCCUGGUAGCGGGGGAUAACUAUUGGAAACGAUAGCUAAUACCGCAUAAUAGCAGUUGUUGCAUGACAACUGUUUAAAAGGUGCAAUUGCAUCACUACCAGAUGGACCUGCGUUGUAUUAGCUAGUUGGUGGGGUAACGGCUCACCAAGGCGACGAUACAUAGCCGACCUGAGAGGGUGAUCGGCCACACUGGGACUGAGACACGGCCCAGACUCCUACGGGAGGCAGCAGUAGGGAAUCUUCGGCAAUGGACGGAAGUCUGACCGAGCAACGCCGCGUGAGUGAAGAAGGUUUUCGGAUCGUAAAGCUCUGUUGUAAGAGAAGAACGAGUGUGAGAGUGGAAAGUUCACACUGUGACGUAUCUACCAGAA
This 476-nucleotide ribosomal RNA is filed under the name Streptococcus sp. oral taxon E98. Its description in RNAcentral is "bacterial SSU rRNA". It matches the Rfam family "Bacterial small subunit ribosomal RNA", at positions 28 to 488 of the family's 1533-position model. The record is from RNAcentral. Lineage: Bacteria; Bacillati; Bacillota; Bacilli; Lactobacillales; Streptococcaceae.